Gigantopelta aegis is the source of this 518-nucleotide long non-coding RNA. RefSeq lists it as uncharacterized. The transcript is spliced from 2 exons. Lineage: Eukaryota; Metazoa; Mollusca; Gastropoda; Neomphalida; Peltospiridae. The record is from RefSeq and is a predicted model, not a curated record.
UUUGCUUGAAGCAGGAGGUCAAGCCCCGAAACUAGGCUUCCCCUUCUGCACACGCGCCCGAGAUAGGUUCCCACAGAAAAUAUAUUUUAAAAAAAAAUAAAAAAUAAAAAUUUGCUUGAAGCAGGAGGUCAAGCCCCGAAACUAGGCUUCCCCUUCUGCACACGCGCCCGAGAUAGGUUCCCACAGAAAAUAUAUUAUAAAAAAAAAAAAAUAAAAUUUGCUUGAAGCAGGAGGUCAAGCCCCGAAACUAGGCUUCCCCUUCUGCACACGCGCCCGAGAUAGGUUCCCACAGAAAAUAUAUUUUAAAAAAAAAAAAAUAAAAAUUUGCUUGAAGCAGGAGGUCAAGCCCCGAAACUAGGCUUCCCCUUCUGCACACGCGCCCGAGAUAGGUUCCCACAGAAAAUAUAUUUUAAAAAAAAUAAAAAAUAAAAAUUUGCUUGAAGCAGGAGGUCAAGCCCCGAAACUAGGCUUCCCCUUCUGCACACGCGCCCGAGAUAGGUUCCCACAGAAAAUAUAUU